GUGGUAUUGGUUCCUAUUUGGGGUUGUCUACUUCAUUCACAAGGAAUGAAAACGAUGCUGGCAACAGCUACAUAAGUAGGAACAGGUUUUAUGAAUUUGUUGGGUUAUUUAAUUUUCUUGCCUGGUUUUGCCAAAGAUACAGGGUAAUGACUGAGACUGCUACUCCCCCUGGAGACGUUAAUGAUAAUGGUA
RNAcentral lists this long non-coding RNA (192 nucleotides) under Amphimedon queenslandica. RNAcentral describes it as "uncharacterized LOC109592989, transcript variant X1". The record is from RNAcentral. Lineage: Eukaryota; Metazoa; Porifera; Demospongiae; Haplosclerida; Niphatidae.